CGGCGUGCUUAACACAUGCAAGUCGAGCGGUAAGCCCCUUCGGGGUACACGAGCGGCGAACGGGUGAGUAACACGUGGGUGACCUGCCCCCUACUCUGGGAUAAGCCUGGGAAACUGGGUCUAAUACCGGAUAUGACUGCUGGUUGCAUGACUGGUGGUGGAAAGUUUUUCGGUGGGGGAUGGGCCCGCGGCCUAUCAGCUUGUUGGUGGGGUGAUGGCCUACCAAGGCGACGACGGGUAGCCGGCCUGAGAGGGCGACCGGCCACACUGGGACUGAGACACGGCCCAGACUCCUACGGGAGGCAGCAGUGGGGAAUAUUGCGCAAUGGGCGGAAGCCUGACGCAGCGACGCCGCGUGGGGGAUGACGGCCUUCGGGUUGUAAACCUCUUUCGGCCCCGACGAAGCGUGAGUGACGGUAGGGGUAGAAGAAGCACCGGCCAACUACGUGCCAGCAGCCGCGGUAACACGUAGGGUGCGAGCGUUUUCCGGAAUUAUUGGGCGUAAAGAGCUCGUAGGCGGUGUGUCGCGUCGGCCGUGAAAACCUGCAGCUUAACUGUGGGCUUGCGGUCGAUACGGGCAUCACUGGAGUUCGGCAGGGGAGACUGGAAUUCCUGGUGUAGCGGCGAAAUGCGCAGAUAUCAGGAGGAACACCGGUGGCGAAGGCGGGUCUCUGGGCCGAUACUGACGCUGAGGAGCGAAAGCGUGGGGAGCGAACAGGAUUAGAUACCCUGGUAGUCCACGCCGUAAACGAUGUCAACUAGCCGUUGGAAGCCUUGAGCUUUUAGUGGCGCAGCUAACGCAUUAAGUUGACCCCCCGGGGAGC
Molecule: ribosomal RNA, 824 nt
Filed under: uncultured bacterium
Lineage: Bacteria
Description: bacterial SSU rRNA
Rfam family: Bacterial small subunit ribosomal RNA
Source: RNAcentral